CCGCCCGUCACAUCACGAAAGUGGACUGCACUAGAAGCCGGUGUGCCAACCGCAAGGAGGCAGCCGUCCAAGGUAUGGUUCAUGAUUGGGGUGAAGUCGUAACAAGGUACCC
Molecule: ribosomal RNA, 112 nt
Filed under: uncultured bacterium
Lineage: Bacteria
Description: partial 16S ribosomal RNA
Rfam family: Bacterial small subunit ribosomal RNA
Source: RNAcentral